Molecule: long non-coding RNA, 1445 nt
Filed under: Astyanax mexicanus (Mexican tetra)
Lineage: Eukaryota; Metazoa; Chordata; Actinopteri; Characiformes; Acestrorhamphidae
Description: lncRNA (ENSAMXG00005024366.1)
Source: RNAcentral
UGAACUUCUGUGCCUUUAACUAUCUUCUCCCACAUCAUCACUUACUGAAGACAUGAACGAGCUGAAUGUGCUGAUGAGCCUAAAGCCUGAAAGCUUAUUGAUGAACCUGCUGAUGAAUGAAGGAUGGUGGAUAGUGUGGGCUUGGGAUGCAGACGCACGCCGUCCAAUGAAUUAAACAUCAGAGCCGACACCCUGAAAGCCUCACCCAGAGAGUGUCACACCAAAGCUGGGUUAGGGGAUAUCUGCUCGUUUCCCAGGCCAAGUGGAAGCUGUCCAGCAGGGAACUGGUCCACUUUCUCCAGUCUCCAGAUGCCACUAUGGAUGCUGGAGUGCUGUAAGCAUGCUCAUUAUAGCCUGCACUGACCAUGAAUCACCCACCUCAGCUCUCCAUCUUUUUCUCUCUCUCUCUCUCUCUUCAUCUCUCUUUCUCUCCAUCUCUCUUUCUCCUCUUCACACCCCUUCUCUGACCAGUAACGAAGAGCAGCUGCUCAUGCUCAUAGUGUAUUAUUAGUCUAAACACACACACACACACACUGCAUGCAGUACUGGUCUGCUAGCACAGUAACUGGCUGUGUGGAUUUCCCUGCUGGAGGUAGAGGUGAGUAAUGAGGGUUUGGCUGUGAGGAGCUGGGGUGAGGCUGGCCUGGACUUGGCAGCUUUGGUUCACUGAAUCCUUUUCUGUUAUUCCAGCUCUGGUUAUCUUCUGAGGUGAUGCUGGAACCAGGAAAAGAGUGAAACUCUGCAUAGCAAACAGGAGCACCAAAGAUAAAGCACUGGCUCAUUGACAACAAGGCUGUGGGUUCCAUACACGGGUUUGGCGAGCCACCACUGCUGCCCUUGAGCAAGACCCUCAACCCUCAAGCCUGAGUGGGUUCAGGUUCAAGAAUGGUCUGUGAUGUAAGCGUCUGUCUAGAUUUAUUUUAUAUAAAGCUAUGGAGUAAUAAUCACAGUAUAGCAAAGUAACAAAUCUAAAUGUUUUAAAGAAAAGUUGCACAAGUUAGAAUGUUAUAAUCAUGCAGCACUGUGGCAAAAUGUUUUAAACAACCGUAUGAGCACCUCUACUUGUCCGCAUUACACACUUGAUUUGCAGUGCAUAGCCUUAUUGCUGCUUUUCUGUGUUCUGUGAGUAGGCUAUAUGCUAAAUAUUAAAAUAUUAGUUUAUUCAGAAAGUGUUUUAUAUUCUUAAACCUUGUUAAUUAUACUAGAGUAGAGGUAAGUCAUUGUAAAUUAUGUUAUUGUUCUUGGUCUAUUUCAGUUGAAUGAUUGUGCAGUGUAUAGCCAUAUUACAGUUUUAUUCUUAAACCAUGUUAAUUAUAUUAGAUUAGACUAAAGUCAUUCAGACAUCAUUCUUGUAGCCUAAUUUACCGAUGUUGAGGCCUGUGGAUCAUUGUUCACAUUGUUCGUGAUCUGUUUUUAAUAAACAUUUUUCAUAAAUAAUAGGUAAU